UUGCCUUAAACUAAUGAGUAAGGAAAACAAAGCAAGCGGUGAGAGCUGCUUGCCGUGCUGCGUAUAAACGUGCACAAGAAUUUAUGGAGGGAUCAUAGGCUGGCCUAGUGUUGACGCUGCUUACUUUGCAGAACUCACUUGUGCGGGCCUCCC
This 153-nucleotide small nuclear RNA is filed under the name Cephalotus follicularis. RNAcentral's name for it is "U12 minor spliceosomal RNA". It matches the Rfam family "U12 minor spliceosomal RNA". Rfam says of the family: Although the U12 sequence is very divergent from that of U2, the two are functionally analogous. Lineage: Eukaryota; Viridiplantae; Streptophyta; Magnoliopsida; Oxalidales; Cephalotaceae. The record is from Rfam by way of RNAcentral.